CCCUUAGAUGUCCGGGGCUGCACGCGCGCUACACUGAAGGAAUCAGCGUGCUAAAACCAUUGUCGAAAGGCAUUGGUAAACCCAUUAAAAUCCUACGUGAUUGGGAUCGGGAAUUGCAAUUAUUUCCCUUGAACGAGGAAUUCCCAGUAAGUGUGGGUCAUAAGCUCGCGUUGAUUACAUCCCUGCCCUUUGUACACACCGCCCGUCGCUGCCCGGGACUGAGCCGUUUCGAGAAAAGCGGGGACUGCUGCUGUCGGGGCUUUCGGGCCUUGGCUUCGGUGGAAACCGCUUUAAUCGCAGUGGCUUGAACCGGGCAAAAGUCGUAACA
RNAcentral lists this ribosomal RNA (328 nucleotides) under uncultured eukaryote. Its description in RNAcentral is "partial 18S ribosomal RNA". It matches the Rfam family "Eukaryotic small subunit ribosomal RNA", at positions 1470 to 1796 of the family's 1831-position model. The record is from RNAcentral.